CCUACGGGAGGCAGCAGUGAGGAAUAUUGGUCAAUGGUCGGGAGACUGAACCAGCCAAGCCGCGUGAGGGAGGAAGGUACAGAGUAUCGUAAACCUCUUUUGUCAGGGAACAAAGGCGGGGACGUGUCCCCGGAUGAGUGUACCUGAAGAAAAAGCAUCGGCUAACUCCGUGCCAGCAGCCGCGGUAAUACGGAGGAUGCGAGCGUUAUCCGGAUUUAUUGGGUUUAAAGGGAGCGCAGGCGGUCUUUUAAGUCUGCUGUGAAACCCUUCGGCUUAACCGGAGUAGUGCAUUGGAAACUGGGAGACUUGAGUGCAGAAGAGGAGAGCGGAACGCGAUGUGUAGCGGUGAAAUGCGUAGAUAUAGGGAAGAACACCAGUGGCGAAAGCGGCUUUCUGGUCCGUCACUGACGCUGAGGUUCGAAAGCGUGGGUAGCAAACAGGAUUAGAUACCCUUGUAGUC
This 460-nucleotide ribosomal RNA is filed under the name uncultured bacterium. RNAcentral describes it as "partial 16S ribosomal RNA". It matches the Rfam family "Bacterial small subunit ribosomal RNA", at positions 338 to 795 of the family's 1533-position model. The record is from RNAcentral.